Non-coding RNA from Acanthosepion pharaonis, 91 nucleotides. The record is from the annotation of a GenBank genome assembly. Lineage: Eukaryota; Metazoa; Mollusca; Cephalopoda; Sepiida; Sepiidae.
UACAGCCAUAUCACGUUAAAACACCGAUUCUCGUAUGAUCGCCGAAGUUAAGCAAAGUUGAGCCUGGUUAGUAGCUAGAUGGGUGACCGCU